This 1559-nucleotide long non-coding RNA is filed under the name Anas platyrhynchos platyrhynchos (common mallard). RNAcentral's name for it is "lncRNA (ENSAPLG00000023926.1)". Lineage: Eukaryota; Metazoa; Chordata; Aves; Anseriformes; Anatidae. The record is from RNAcentral.
UAUGCCCAUGGACAAACUACUGAGACUUUAGAAACCUGGAUGAGCUUCAUUUAUAGCACAAUGACAAGUGGGAUAUGCCCAACUUCCUUCCCUCAGAGGAGUUGUAUGCAGCACUGUAGAUGGCACUUAGGUCCAAGACUGAACCAGGAGAAGCUACACUACUGAAGAAAAGGUAGGAAUAGCCCACCUUUUCUGUGGCUUCACCUCUUCAGGACUGCCUGUGCGAAUGUGGCUGUGUCUGGCAGCUGAGGAAAUGGGUGGCAGCAACGCUUUGUGGGGCAUGGGGGCCUACCUGCAGUAAGGCUCAAAUUGCUCAGGGUUGUGGCAGGACAAGGGAGGGAGGCUGAGAUGUGGUGACAGCAGGUCGUAUGAUGUCUUGUCAGCCUCAGGUCAAGCCUGACUGUACGUGCUGUGUUACAGAGCCCAGAGGUGCACAGAAAUGUUCUUAACUCUCGCCCACAACCUAAAGCGGCCGCUCACGGCUCUGUCCUCAGACGUGACCCAAAUCCGGCACGGCCACGUCUGUGCUUGGCUACAGAAAGUCAGCUGGGUGCCAGCCCAGCUCCUGGCAUGAUCUGGAGCAGUUUCAAGGCAGUAAUGAGGAACAGAGAUGUGGACUUCGGGAUCUGGUGCUUGUGGAGCUGCUCGUAUGCUGCUUGUCUGAGCUGAGUGUAUUUCCUUCAGCCCAUUUCUUAAAGGAUUUAGACCUGUGGAGCUGCUGGGAGUCACUGCUGCCCCUCCCGCAGCCAGAGGCAGCUCGGGGUAAUCAGCACGUACAGGAAUAAGCUCUGACGGAGGAAGCCCGGAAGCUCGAGUGACUGAAUAAUGAAGAUGAAUCGGGAUUCCAGAAAGAGAGAAAAUCCUUCUUUUCCAUGCAGCCCAAACCCAGUAACCUGCUUUUGCCAACCUGUCCCUACGAAAUAAAAAAGAGGCAUUCAUUUGUACCUCCUCGUUUUCCUCUGUCAGAGGUCACACUCUCUGGACUUCGAUUCGGCUGGGAUCCUCCUCUGGACAAAGGUGAUGUGUCUUAGAGCGUCUUUGGCUUGGCAGGAACACUUAUUAAAAUACCACAAGUUCAGACAAUGCUGGUUACGAGGAGCACACAGCGCGCUGUAUGUGGGAGGACUGGCGCAGAGUUUCCAGUGAAAAUGAAGUGACUUAGAAAACUCUUCUUCACCCUGGCACAUCCCAGGGAGUGUAUUUGGUGUCUGUGUGUCUGAGGGAGCCUGCUCGGUGCGCGGUGUGUGUUUGUACAUGUCUCACUGAAAAUCUUGGGAAUCGCUUAGCUCCUCGCUAGCACACAGCACAGGUUUCAAAGCGUCCCAAAGAGUAUUCUUCUGUGUCCAAUGAAAGCCUGCCUCGGAUUUUAAGCAUAGCAGGGGCCAGGGUUUCAGCUGCUGUAAAUCAAUAGACUUCCAGGGAAGCUGGUGGGGCUACGCCAACUGGGGAAGGCUGAAAGCUCGGCCCCGCGUUGCUCCCGAUGCCCUGCCUCGGUGGCUCAGGCCGCAUGGGCAGAAGGCCCCGCGCAGUGACAGCCUGUGAAGCCGCAGCACAGUGCC